Molecule: long non-coding RNA, 1828 nt
Organism: Drosophila willistoni
Lineage: Eukaryota; Metazoa; Arthropoda; Insecta; Diptera; Drosophilidae
Exons: 3
Source: RefSeq, a predicted model, not a curated record
UGGGGCUUUUCUUAGGGCUGAUGGGGAUUAAUGGCUGGCCUGCUUGGUAGGGUGGCUUAGCUGCUGGGGUGGGUGGCAUGUUGGACUUUUCUCUGUGGGAGCCCCAAACACAUAGUAGCUGCAGCAACAGUUCAUACAAAGUUUCAAUAGUUUAAAUUAGUUUAGAUUAGUUGUUAGUUUAGUUGAGUAGUAGUUGAGCGUUAAGUUUUAAAAAUAGUAUAUAGUAAAGAUCUGAGUAUAUUUAUACAAAAUGCAGUCACUUGAGUUGUUUAAAAUUAGAUUAAGUUUGUGAAAAAAAUUCCCAGAACUUGAUUGAUUUGUCAUCAGCCCAUUUCAUACCACGUCCAGCUGCAUCUCUUUUUAAUCGCCCAUCUGCCAAUUGAACUUAAUAGCUAUGGGUUUCUUGUAUUUGUUUUUAUUCUCUUGAAUGGCACCUUACAUAGAAUUUUACAGACCGUAGCUAUGCUCGUGUUCAUAGUGCGAAUGCUCAACAACCUUGGAGUUCUCUUUCUUUGAUUCCAACAGCUUUUUCAAUCCAAUGAUGCUCGAGAGCAGCAGAGCAAUCUUGCCAAUGACCAAAGCCUUGAAUGAGAUCAGUGCCAGGGGCAGCAGAGCCGCCAUUUUCAGUUUAAAAAGCAUAAACAGUGGCAUCAAAUAAUUCUUCUUCUCCUUCUUGCCGCGAGCUAGAUAGAUAGGUAGAUAAAUUGAUUGAUCAAUAGCAGGCUUAAAUGGGAAUGAAAUGAGGUGGGAUACAUGCAUUUGCAUGUAUGACUUUCGCUUGAUUACAGCUUGAUUCAUCGUCGGAGAGUUUGCUGUCCACUGUCCGCUCAUUAGCAAUUGGAGCACAAAUAAUUAAUAAGCGAACAGGAUCGACAGCUUUCUAUGGUCAGCGUUUAGAAAUCGGAAACUGUGGCUAAAGAGCGCAAAAAGAAAUAAAAGGCAAUUAAUAACAGCAGCCAACAACAGUCAACAGCAACAAGUUUGCCACUUGGACAUGGAGGCUGUCAGUGCACCGCUAGGAGAUGCCUGGGAAUCUAAAUUAAAAACCGACUCUGCCUGACCUCGAUGAAUGUGACGCGAGAAUUUAAUAGUGAAAACAGGAUUGAAAACUUGUACUGGUAAAUACAUUACUAACCCAAAUUGGCAAUAUGCUAGCAAACCAGAUCGGCAGCUGGCUAUAAUUUAUGUGGGACCACAAAAUGCUGUGUGCUACUCUACGUUUCUAUGUCAUGUUGCAUAUCCUGGAUGGAAUCCUUGGGGACCUUGAAUUGCAAUGUGUGUGUGGAAGGAGACGUUAAGAGGAGGUACAUCGGCUGCAACCAACCUGGCCAAGAGCAAAAGACCGAAACAUCCCGAUAGAGGCCGGUCGACGGUGGGUAUGAGUCGCAGUUGCCGUUGUGUUUGGCAGAGCCGUUAACUUGUUGUUCGUCAACACACCAACGGUUAAGAACUAUGUGCCACACACACACACACUGACACACAGAUUGACACACACAUGCUAAAAAGUGUUAAGGGGAGAAGCUUAAAAACAUAUAUGAUGGCACUUAUAGGCAAAUGGUUUUUUUUUUCUUUUUCUGCUAACAUCAUGGUAUCAGGGGAAGAUGGGUGGCAACAGCGAAGAGAGAUGGGUGGUGGCUAAUAUGGAGAGGGGAAUUAUCAAUUAAACCAGCACCAACCAUACCAUUCACACGAGCAGCACCACUUAUGUAUUUGGCUGUGUGUGUGUAUAUUGGUCGAAAGCAACCACAAGUGCGCGGCCAUCGUAUCUCAAAUUGGAGUAAAAUAGAAAAUUAACUAGUUUGUUGGCGAUAUUUAAUAUAAAAUAAAA